RNAcentral lists this ribosomal RNA (730 nucleotides) under uncultured archaeon. RNAcentral describes it as "bacterial SSU rRNA". It matches the Rfam family "Archaeal small subunit ribosomal RNA", at positions 167 to 900 of the family's 1478-position model. The record is from RNAcentral.
AUGCUGGAAUGCUUUGAUGGUGAAAGCUUCGGCGCUUGAGGAUGAGUCUGCGGCCUAUCAGGUAGUAUGUGGUGUAAAGGACCACAUAGCCGAGGACGGGUACGGGCCUUGAAAGAGGGAGCCCGGAGAUGGACUCUGAGACAUUAGUCCAGGCCCUACGGGGCGCAGCAGGCGCGAAAACUGUGCAAUGCGCGAAAGCGCGACACGGGGAACCUGAGUGCCUUGACACAGUCAAGGCUUUUAUCAAGCCUAAAAAGCUUGAUGAAUAAGAGCUGGGUAAGACGGGUGCCAGCCGCCGCGGUAACACCCGCAGCUCUAGUGGUGGUCACUUUUAUUGAGCCUAAAGCGUUCGUAGCCGGUUCUGUAAAUCUUCAGAUAAAUUCAUUCGCUCAACGGAUGAUCUUCUGAAGAGACUGUAGAACUUGGGACCGGGUGAGGUUGAAUGUACUUCCGGGGUAGGGGUAAAAUCCUGUAAUCCUGGAAGGACAACCGGUGGCGAAGGCGUUCAACUAGAACGGAUCCGACGGUGAGGAACGAGGGCUAGGGGAGCAAACCGGAUUAGAUACCCGGGUAGUCCUAGCUGUAAACACUGCCCACUUGGUGUUGCCUCUCUGUUGAAGGGGGGCAGUGCCGGAGCGAAGGUGUUAAGUGGGCCGCUUGGGGAGUAUGGUCGCAAGGCUGAAACUUAAAGGAAUUGGCGGGGGAGCACCGCAACGGGAGGAGCGUGCGG